Trifolium pratense (red clover) is the source of this 584-nucleotide long non-coding RNA. RefSeq lists it as uncharacterized. The transcript is spliced from 2 exons. The record is from RefSeq and is a predicted model, not a curated record. NCBI's taxonomy places the organism in Eukaryota, Viridiplantae, Streptophyta, Magnoliopsida, Fabales, Fabaceae.
UUCAAUUGAUGUAAUAAAGGAGAGCAUGCACUUUUUAAAUUAUAUAAAGUGAUGAAAAUCAUAUUAUAUUUGUUAGAUACAGAGAGAGGGAGAAAUAUGACUCAAAUUAUCAACUUUAUUUAUGUGGUGAUUAUAUUAAUUUUUGUAUUUCUUAUUACAAUGAACGUUGAUGGAUAUGUAUUUUUUAAAUGUUUUCAAGAAUAUGAUUGUCCAAAAUAUAUGUGCCCGCCGCCUAUUAUAGCAAGUUGUGUUAACAGACGCAUUUGUGCAUGUAUUAAACCAUACUUUGAGGAUUGGCAAUGGGUUUAAUAAGAAGAAUCACAGUUUAAUCUUCGUAAUUACGAUUGAAAGAGGGUUGGAACAACUUGAUGGCAGACCCCGAAUUAGAUUAAGUAUCUAGUAAGUCAAAUACUGGUGAUAAAAAAAUGCACUUACUCUUUUAUUAUUUCCCAGUGCUUUGCAUGGAAUUGUUGUUGAACUAUAUAAAAUACAUUCAUAAUCUCUUUAGUUUCUCUGUGUAAUAAUUGACUAUGAAAAGUCAAGUGUCUUCCUUUACAAGAAAGUAAAAUCUCUCCGUUUUAUAA